UGGUGGCGACCGGCGCACGGGUGAGUAACGCGUAUGCAACCCACCUAUCAGAGGGGAAUAACCCGGCGAAAGUCGGACUAAUACCGCAUAAAACAGGGACACCGCAUGGUGAUAUUUGUUAAAGAAAUUCGCUGAUAGAUGGGCAUGCGUUCCAUUAGGUAGUUGGUGAGGUAACGGCUCACCAAGCCGACGAUGGAUAGGGGAACUGAGAGGUUGGUCCCCCACACUGGUACUGAGACACGGACCAGACUCCUACGGGAGGCAGCAGUGAGGAAUAUUGGUCAAUGGGCGAGAGCCUGAACCAGCCAAGUCGCGUGAAGGAAGAAGGAUCUAUGGUUCGUAAACUUCUUUUGCAGGGGAAUAAAGUGCAGGACGUGUCCUGUUUUGUAUGUACCCUGAGAAUAAGGAUCGGCUAACUCCGUGCCAGCAGCCGCGGUAAUACGGAGGAUCCGAGCGUUAUCCGGAUUUAUUGGGUUUAAAGGGUGCGUAGGUGGUUUGAUAAGUCAGCGGUGAAAGUUUGCAGCUUAACUGUAAAAAUGCCGUUGAAACUGUCGGACUUGAGUGUAAAUGAGGUAGGCGGAAUGCGUGGUGUAGCGGUGAAAUGCUUAGAUAUCACGAAGAACUCCGAUUG
This 631-nucleotide ribosomal RNA is filed under the name uncultured Bacteroidales bacterium. RNAcentral describes it as "bacterial SSU rRNA". It matches the Rfam family "Bacterial small subunit ribosomal RNA", at positions 86 to 715 of the family's 1533-position model. Lineage: Bacteria; Pseudomonadati; Bacteroidota; Bacteroidia; Bacteroidales. The record is from RNAcentral.